RNAcentral lists this ribosomal RNA (253 nucleotides) under uncultured bacterium. RNAcentral describes it as "partial 16S ribosomal RNA". It matches the Rfam family "Bacterial small subunit ribosomal RNA", at positions 524 to 776 of the family's 1533-position model. The record is from RNAcentral.
UACGUAGGGUGCGAGCGUUAAUCGGAAUUACUGGGCGUAAAGCGUGCGCAGGCGGUUUUGUAAGCCAGAUGUGAAAGCCCCGGGCUCAACCUGGGAAUGGCAUUUGGGACUGCAAGGCUUGAGUGCGGCAGAGGAGACUGGAAUUCCUGGUGUAGCAGUGAAAUGCGCAGAUAUCAGGAGGAACGCCAAAAGCGAAGGCAGCUCUCUGGGUCCCUACCGACGCUGGGGUGCGAAAGCAUGGGGAGCGAACAGG